AUUUUAUUAAUAAUAAAUCAAUC
This 23-nucleotide small nuclear RNA is filed under the name Arabidopsis thaliana (thale cress). RNAcentral's name for it is "snRNA_07091". The record is from RNAcentral. Lineage: Eukaryota; Viridiplantae; Streptophyta; Magnoliopsida; Brassicales; Brassicaceae.